This 339-nucleotide ribosomal RNA is filed under the name uncultured bacterium. RNAcentral's name for it is "bacterial SSU rRNA". It matches the Rfam family "Bacterial small subunit ribosomal RNA", at positions 28 to 334 of the family's 1533-position model. The record is from RNAcentral.
GAUGAACGCUAGCGGCGUGCCUAAUACAUGCAAGUCGAGCGAGCUUGCCUAGAUGAUUUUAGUGCUUGCACUAAAUGAAACUAGAUACAAGCGAGCGGCGGACGGGUGAGUAACACGUGGGUAACCUGCCCAAGAGACUGGGAUAACACCUGGAAACAGAUGCUAAUACCGGAUAACAACACUAGACGCAUGUCUAGAGUUUGAAAGAUGGUUCUGCUAUCACUCUUGGAUGGACCUGCGGUGCAGUAGCUAGUUGGUAAGGUAACGGCUUACCAAGGCAAUGAUGCAUAGCCGAGUUGAGAGACUGAUCGGCCACAUUGGGACUGAGACACGGCCCAA